GGUUGGUCUGAGUACAAUGGUAUUUACAACUAAUUGGUCACAAUGUUACAGAUUUCUUUGUUCCUUCUCCAGGCCUACUACUGCUUCAUUAGCUAGCCUUAA
RNAcentral lists this Y RNA (102 nucleotides) under Prolemur simus (greater bamboo lemur). RNAcentral describes it as "Y RNA (ENSPSMG00000006225.1)". It matches the Rfam family "Y RNA". Rfam says of the family: Y RNAs are components of the Ro ribonucleoprotein particle (Ro RNP), in association with Ro60 and La proteins. The Y RNAs and Ro60 and La proteins are well conserved, but the function of the Ro RNP is not known. Lineage: Eukaryota; Metazoa; Chordata; Mammalia; Primates; Lemuridae. The record is from Rfam by way of RNAcentral.